CCCCACUCGCUCCGCCCCCGCUCGCUUCUGCCCGCAGCCACCCGUUCCCGCGAGCGCUGCCGUGGGGGUUGCACGCGCGUCCCGGCUGCCGCCACCCAGCUGGAGUUUCAGGAUGCUCUACACCCAGGACUUUUUGAAGCUGCCUUUUCAACAGUGACAGUCAUGAAAAUGUGACCAUCACUGCAUUAGCAGAAAACCAAAAACACUGAUGAACAAUCCUGAAAAAAAAUCCCCAUUAUGGUGGAGCUUACCUUCUAGUGAAAAGGAUUGCAGGGUUCUUGUCUCACGGAGUCGAAGAAUGAAUCUCACGGACACAAAAGGGUGAAGUGAAGUGAAAGUUUAUUAAGUGAAGUUUGAGAUCAUUUCAAAGCUACAGAAAAGGAUGCGAAGAAAUCCUGUAUACUCUUCAUCCAGGACCCAGAGAGAGAGAGCCAGAGAGCACAAGCAGGAGGAGUGGCAGAGGAAGAGAGAGAAGAAGGCUCCCUGCUGAGCAGGGAUCCCCAUGUGGGGCUCGAUGUGGGGCUCAAUCCCAGGCCCCUGGGAUCAUGACCUGAGCCGAAGGCAGAUGUUUAACUGACUGAGCCACCCAGGUGCCCCAACAAAUAAUUUUUUUAAAGCCUUCCUAUUUUCCCCUUUCCUUUCUGUUCUGGACCCAACUGAGAAGCACGCACAGCAUUAAGUUGUCAUGUAUUUUCUUCAAUCUGGACAGUUUCUCGGGCUUUUCUUGUCUUUAAGAUCUUGACAUUUUUGAAGGUCAGACAUUUUGAAGGCUUUCAAUUUGGGUUUGUCUAUUGUUUCCUCAUGAUUAGAUUCAGGUUAUGAUUUGAGGGGCAGGAAUAUCACAAAUGUGAUGCUGUGUUCUUAGUGCAUCGUAUCAGGAAAUCUACAAUGUCAUUUUGUUCUGUUACAGGUGAUGUUAGCUCUUAUCAUUUUGUUUUUCCACUGCAAACUAAUUAAUUGGUUAUUAACCUAAAAAUAGUUUCUAAGUAUUUUAUAGGGAGAUACUUUGGGACUAUGUAAAUAUCCUUUUUCUCAUCAAACGUUCAUCCACUAUUUUCCCUGAACCAUUAAUUACUAGGGUUGUUACCACAUGGUGAUUUUCUAAUUACAUUAUUUCUUCUACAUUAAUUAGUUGGCAUUCUACCAUAAAGUAGAGCUUUCUAUUUAUUUAUUCAUUUCCUUGUAUCAGUGUAGAUUUAUGGAUUCCUAUUUUAUUCAGUAGUUUAUAAUGCAUUAUUAAUAUUAUUUAUUUUGGUGCUCAAUUUGUUUCGUAUUUGGCCAGUGGGAGCCUUUUCCAGUUGAAUCCUGUGUCGUUUAACAUGAUCCCAAUAUUUUCUUAAGAUUUUAUUUAUUUAUCUAUUUAUUUAUUUAUUUUUAAAUAUCUUAUUUAUUUAUUUAUUUAUUUGACAGAGAGAGAGACACAGCGAGAGAGGGAACAGAACCAGGGGGAGUGGGAGAGGGAGAAGCAGGCUUCCCGCCCAGCAGGGAGCCUGAUGCGGGGCUCCAUCCCAGGACCCUGGGAUCAUGACCUGAGCCGAAGGCAGACGCUUAACCGACUAAGCCACCCUGGGACCCCAACAUGCUCCCAAUAUUUUUUGAGAGCUUCUUUAUUUUCUGGAGCAAGCAGAUGUUUCAGACUUAACUUGUGUUUUCCUUGGAACAGUCCUGGAAUUGGCAACUUAUCCAAUGAACCCUGGUUCCUUUAAGUAAGGUGUUUAGAAACCAAGACCUGGGUGCUAAGUUGCUCUUUGUUAUAAGAGCACCACUGGUUUCAGGCCUCUUGCCAGAAAGAGCCAGGAAAAGUUCUAUGCCUACCCAACAUCUAUAUCUAUAUCUAUAUCUAUCUACACAGUAAAACAACUAUGAGUUCACAACAUUACCUAUACAUCCAAUCCAAUUCCACAGUUUGUUCUAGUGUUCCCCUUUCCGUAUUUGUACUACUUCUCUGAUAAUAAGAAAAUUGUCUCCCAUCAUCAUUAAUACAUUUAUUUUCCCUGUAAGUAACCAAUAUCCAGAUCAAGGGAGCCAUCUCCUCCACCUCCUUGGUUAACAUCACCAAACCAAAUCCACAGGCCACCUUCUCAGUCCUGGUCCUGCCACACCUGCCAGUGACACUAUUUAGUCCCUCUGACCCCAAACAGUCUCCAGUCAUUCGUGAUUGCGCCCUCCCCUUCACUCUGCCCGUAUAAUCAACCACAAAGCCCUGAUUAUCCUGCCUCCUAAAUAUUCCCUGAAUCUGUCUCCUUCUUUCUACUCUUUCCAUGGAUGGUAUAACAGGUAAACUGUACCAACUGCCUAGCAAAUCGUUGAUGUAAUUGAGGGCGCUGGUAGAUUCUUUCUCCCUCCCCCUCUAAUGUUUUUUGGCUGGUGACCAAUUUUUAAGGGACUUAUUAACCAUAAUUAGAGAGUGACAUGUUUCCCAGGCCAUGCUUGCUCUCUCCCCGAUGAUUAUUCAGAGCCAGGAAUUGAAUGGGAGGAGUUAAGCUUUGGUCCUGGCCUGCAAGGUGGGGAGACGCUCAGAUGACAGAGCUGUUCUGGUUGAAGGGUGGAGGAAGAGGCAGAAGGUGAGAGGCCAUCUCUAUUAGUUGAGCCCCCCUGGUGGCUUGGUAUCUUCUAGCUUCCAGUCCUAACCUCUAACGGGCAAAUUGAAAAGCCCAGCUCUUCUCUGUAAUUCUGACAGGUAACUAAUACAGCAUUAAUCAGCUACUAACUAAUUGCUAAACUCCUAUGGGUAGGUGAGUGCAGCUCAGCUUGGUGCUGCACCCUCUUUUCUAGUAAUUUGUCCCAAGAGUUGAGUUAACUUCCCUGUCUUUUAACUAUUUCACAUUGUCACUGACCUUGCCUUAUCAGCUCAGAGCUGAUCUAAGAAGUGCAGGUGGGGUAGGGUUGGGAAAGUGGCUUUUCUUCUGAUUAUAAAAGAAAUCACAACUUUCCAAAAACUGGGGGACAAUGAAAAGAAAAUAAAGAAAAUGAAAGUCAUCCACAAUACCACAACUCUCUGAUGUAAUUUCUUCCAGUUUUUCUCUGCUCUUAUAAAACAACUUGAUAUUAUAAAAGGUAUUUCCUUUUAUAUCUUUUUUCUUAACAUUAUGAUAUCAGCAUUCUUCCAUUUCAUUUAAAAUCUUUUGAAAAUAUUAUUAAUGAAAACAUAGAUGUGUCCUAACAAU
This is an RNA transcript of Mirounga angustirostris (Northern elephant seal), 3167 nucleotides long. It is a transcript of the gene named neutrophil gelatinase-associated lipocalin-like, with no coding region annotated. The transcript is spliced from 5 exons. The record is from RefSeq and is a predicted model, not a curated record. NCBI's taxonomy places the organism in Eukaryota, Metazoa, Chordata, Mammalia, Carnivora, Phocidae.